UUUCCGUAGGUGAACCUGCGGAAGGAUCAUUAUCGUACAAAAUGUGAGGGGCAUGCGAGGGCUGUCGCUGACCAAAAGUCGUGCAUGCCCGAGUGUGUCCUCUUGCAUAAUAAUCCAUCUCACCCUUUGUGCAUCACCGCGUGGGCACCCUUCGGGAUCAUCUCGGAGGGGGGCUCGCGUUUUCACACAAACCCCCCUUUUAAAAGUGUAGAAUGACCACAUUUAUGCAAUCAAUACAACUUUCAACAACGGAUCUCUUGGCUCUC
Molecule: unclassified non-coding RNA, 266 nt
Filed under: plant metagenome
Description: partial contains small subunit ribosomal RNA, internal transcribed spacer 1, and 5.8S ribosomal RNA
Source: RNAcentral